Molecule: long non-coding RNA, 1825 nt
Organism: Symphalangus syndactylus (siamang)
Lineage: Eukaryota; Metazoa; Chordata; Mammalia; Primates; Hylobatidae
Source: RefSeq, a predicted model, not a curated record
CGACUCCUCCACUGAAUUCAAUCAGGUUAAAACUGUCAAGCCAUAUACUUUUCUGCCUUCUAUAAGAAUAAAUGAUGGUCAAAUGUUCUUUCUUCCAGGAACAUAAAUCUUAAGCAGACUUACAUAAGGAAGGGAAGUGGUAGAAUCUGAGGUAUUUCCAUGGUGGUCUUUGAAGAAAGCCUUCCAUGAGUUCCCAGUCCAUAUCCUCCAAAGGGUUUCUUGGAUAUGCUUUAUUUAUGCCUAAUUUUCCAGUUUUCUCUUUAAUAUUUUAUUCUCUCUCUUUUUUUUGCUUCACUUAGAAUUUCUUUCAGCCAAUGAAGAAUUCUAAUGAGAAACACGUAUCUGUAAUUUUGAAUAUUCCAGAAUAGUUAUGAUCUAAACAUUACAUCCUGCUGUAUCCCUAAGUACUUGAAAUCUGGAUAUUCCAACUUCAACAACGAGAUCUUAAAAUUACAGCAUAUCAACUCCUGCUUUCCAAACAAACUUCCUGGGUCUUGGGAAGAAGAAAGUCUCAGACUAAGAACUCUCUCUGGAAUCAGACAGCCUGAAUUCAAAUCCCAUCUCUAUUUUUACUAGUCAUAUGAACACGGAUCACAAACUCAUCAGAAGCAGAUGCCACGUGUUAUACUGUUACGUAUCUCUCAGAGACUCCAGCACUUUGAAAGUACUAGGCCUUGCUAUUGAUAUGAAUAUUUUUUUCUAGGCAUGUCCCAAAGUUCUCAGCAUAGCUACAACCCUGAUUUUCACAGGAUUUUCAUUAAAAUUAGGUUCUAGAGCAUUACUUCCCUAAUGUGCGAUGCAACUUACAUUUACUUUUCAAAUCAAAAUUAGUUUUGUUUUUCCGCUGUCUUUAUCUUUGAAAAUAUUGAACUUGGGAUUUCCAAAACUAUAAUUAGCAAUUAUUUUUACGUAUCUUUUAUAUACAUAACUUUUACAAUGGCUGCCAUUAUCAUGUAUUCUUAGGAAGUGUUUCUGAUCCUUGUAAAUAAAAAUGAAAGAAGAAAUCUUUACUGCUUGCUGACCCAUGUGACUAACCUUGAAAUCAGAGAGGCAGAUUCAUUUAAAACAAACUUGCAAACUGUUAAGCAAAGUACUGAAUCUCUGUGACUUGACCAAAAGUAAUUCAGACUUGACUAUUCCAGGCUCCCUUCUAUCUCUGUAGCAACCCAUGCAUCAUAGACUGCAGUUGCAAAGGAUGGUCAAGGAAUCUGCUGUGCCUUUUGAGUCUCUCCAUUUUAUAUUGCCAAAUUUAUCUUCCUUUAAUACUUCACUUCAUAUAAGACACUAAGAUAAACAAGGAUGCAACUCACUUAUAUUUCAAAAUAGAACCUAGUGGUUAAAAGUACUUGUUCUGAAAGCAACUCUAUUUUUCUAGUUCUAACAUGUCUUCAACCAGUUAUCUCACCUUGAGCUUGGCACAUACUCACUCCGUCUUACUUUUGCAUCUGUGACACAAGAAAAAUACCACCCACCUCAACAUAGAUCUUAUGGAGAUUAAAAUGAGAUUAUGAAAGUAAAAUGUUCAGCACAAUGUCUAACCUAAAAUAAAUGUUCAGCAAGUAGGAGCUACUAUAAUUAUUAUCCAGAUCAAAUAUUUUCUCCUCCAUGAAGCUUUCUUAUUCUUCCCCAGCUGGAAUUACUUAUUUUCUUCCUUGCUUUCUAUACCACACUUUAGUCACCACCAUGCUGGCACUUGUCUCACUGCAUUAUAAUUAUUUAUGUGCCUGUGUUCCGUAACCAGAAUAUGGGACUUAAGCUUCUUUAUACCUCCAGCAUAAUUGUUUCAUGUGUGCUCUUAGGUAAUGGAAUAAAAUGGAUGGAUGAA